RNAcentral lists this long non-coding RNA (309 nucleotides) under Brassica napus (rape). RNAcentral describes it as "long non-coding RNA (BNAP_LNC021903)". The record is from RNAcentral. Lineage: Eukaryota; Viridiplantae; Streptophyta; Magnoliopsida; Brassicales; Brassicaceae.
UUACAAAAAAAAAUAUAAAUAUAAAAAUUAAAUUUCUCAAAAAAAAUAAAUAAAAAUAUACAUGCCCUUUAAAUGCCUUUUAAAGGACGGAUCAAAAUCUAGUUGAUAUUAAAGGAAACCUAACUUUAAUUAAUCAACAUCUCUUUCUAGAGAUAACAAAAAGAAAGUUUAAUCAAUCAUAUAAAAUCCCAGAUUUGGUUUGAAUGUAGAUAGCAUUGCAAUUAUUAGGCGUUAUGUUAUGUGAUUGUUUUUUUUUUUUGGAACUGAAAUGUUAUGUGAUUGUUUCAUUAAACUAUACCUUACCCGCUC